GAUGAACGCUGGCGGCGUGCCUAAUACAUGCAAGUCGAGCGAACAGACGAGGAGCUUGCUUCUCUUACGCUAGCGGCGGACGGGUGAGUAACACGUGGAUAACCUACCUAUAAGACUGGGAUAACUUCGGGAAACCGGAGCUAAUACCGGAUAAUAUAUUGAACCGCAUGGUUCAUUAGUGAAAGACGGUUUUGCUGUCACUUAUAGAUGGUUCCGGGCCGCAUUAGCUAGUUGGUAAGGUAACGGCUUACCAAGGCAACGAUGCGUAGCCGACCUGAGAGGGUGAUCGGCCACACUGGAACUGAGACACGGUCCAGACUCCUACGGGAGGCAGCAGUAGGGAAUCUUCCGCAAUGGGCGAAAGCCUGACGGAGCAACGCCGCGUGAGUGAUGAAGGUCUUCGGAUCGUAAAGCUCUGUUAGUUGGGAGGAACAAAUGUGUAAGUAACCAUGCACGUCUUGACGGUACCUAAACAGAAAGCCACGGCUAACUACGUG
RNAcentral lists this ribosomal RNA (497 nucleotides) under uncultured bacterium. RNAcentral describes it as "partial 16S ribosomal RNA". It matches the Rfam family "Bacterial small subunit ribosomal RNA", at positions 28 to 507 of the family's 1533-position model. The record is from RNAcentral.